RNAcentral lists this ribosomal RNA (470 nucleotides) under Streptococcus anginosus. RNAcentral describes it as "bacterial SSU rRNA". It matches the Rfam family "Bacterial small subunit ribosomal RNA", at positions 28 to 470 of the family's 1533-position model. The record is from RNAcentral. Lineage: Bacteria; Bacillati; Bacillota; Bacilli; Lactobacillales; Streptococcaceae.
GACGAACGCUGGCGGCGUGCCUAAUACAUGCAAGUAGGACGCACAGCCUAUACCGUAGCUUGCUACACCAUAGGCUGUGAGUUGCGAACGGGUGAGUAACGCGUAGGUAACCUGCCUAUUAGAGGGGGAUAACUAUUGGAAACGAUAGCUAAUACCGCAUAACAGUAUGUAACACAUGUUAGAUGCUUGAAAGAUGCAAUUGCAUCGCUAGUAGAUGGACCUGCGUUGUAUUAGCUAGUAGGUAGGGUAAUGGCCUACCUAGGCAACGAUACAUAGCCGACCUGAGAGGGUGAUCGGCCACACUGGGACUGAGACACGGCCCAGACUCCUACGGGAGGCAGCAGUAGGGAAUCUUCGGCAAUGGGGGGAACCCUGACCGAGCAACGCCGCGUGAGUGAAGAAGGUUUUCGGAUCGUAAAGCUCUGUUGUUAAAGGAAGAACGAGUGUGAGAAAUGGAAAAGUUUCAUACU